AUUAGUGGCGAACGGGUGAGUAACACGUGGGCAAUCUGCCCUUCACUCUGGGACAAGCCCUGGAAACGGGGUCUAAUACCGGAUAACACUCUGUCCCGCAUGGGACGGGGUUAAAAGCUCCGGCGGUGAAGGAUGAGCCCGCGGCCUAUCAGCUUGUUGGUGGGGUAAUGGCCUACCAAGGCGACGACGGGUAGCCGGCCUGAGAGGGCGACCGGCCACACUGGGACUGAGACACGGCCCAGACUCCUACGGGAGGCAGCAGUGGGGAAUAUUGCACAAUGGGCGAAAGCCUGAUGCAGCGACGCCGCGUGAGGGAUGACGGCCUUCGGGUUGUAAACCUCUUUCAGCAGGGAAGAAGCGAAAGUGACGGUACCUGCAGAAGAAGCGCCGGCUAACUACGUGCCAGCAGCCGCGGUAAUACGUAGGGCGCAAGCGUUGUCCGGAAUUAUUGGGCGUAAAGAGCUCGUAGGCGGCUUGUCACGUCGGAUGUGAAAGCCCGGGGCUUAACCCCGGGUCUGCAUUCGAUACGGGCUAGCUAGAGUGUGGUAGGGGAGAUCGGAAUUCCUGGUGUAGCGGUGAAAUGCGCAGAUAUCAGGAGGAACACCGGUGGCGAAGGCGGAUCUCUGGGCCAUUACUGACGCUGAGGAGCGA
This 651-nucleotide ribosomal RNA is filed under the name Streptomyces sp. RNAcentral's name for it is "bacterial SSU rRNA". It matches the Rfam family "Bacterial small subunit ribosomal RNA", at positions 91 to 756 of the family's 1533-position model. Lineage: Bacteria; Bacillati; Actinomycetota; Actinomycetes; Kitasatosporales; Streptomycetaceae. The record is from RNAcentral.